UGGGGAAUUUUCCGCAAUGGGGGCAACCCUGAUCCAGCCAUGCCGCGUGAGUGAAGAAGGCCCUAGGGUUGUAAAGCUCUUUCACCGGUGAAGAUCAUGACGGUAACCGGAGAAGAAGCCCCGGCUAACUACGUGCCAGCAGCCGCGGUAAUACGAAGGGGGCGAGCGUUGUUCGGAAUCACUGGGCGUAAAGGGCGCGUAGGCGGUUUGUCGCGUCAGGCGUGAAAGCCCCGGGCUCAACCUGGGAGGUGCGCUUGAUACGGGCAGACUAGAGGGUGCGAGAGGAGUGUGGAAUUCCCAGUGUAGAGGUGAAAUUCGUAGAUAUUGGGAAGAACACCGGUGGCGAAGGCGGCACUCUGGCGCAACCCUGACGCUGAGGCGCGAAAGCGUGGGGAGCAAACAGGAUUAGAUACCCGGGUAGUCC
RNAcentral lists this ribosomal RNA (424 nucleotides) under uncultured prokaryote. Its description in RNAcentral is "bacterial SSU rRNA". It matches the Rfam family "Bacterial small subunit ribosomal RNA", at positions 355 to 796 of the family's 1533-position model. The record is from RNAcentral.